GGGCAGUUGACACACCAGAUGACUUCAGAACAGAUGAUCCAGUGGCGUUGCAACAUCUGAUUGAAGGCCUAUUCUUGGGCAUCCAGCAGAAAAAGAGGGAUCUGUAUCGAGUAACCGACCGUAACAAACAGCGACACAAGAUCCGAAGACGGAUUAGAGAGGAUAAGAAAAAGCUGUUUAAUGCCAUAUCCCAAUACAAAGAUCUUCCAACCACCACAGAAUCUGUAGAUUCAGUUGAAGACCUUCUGGCAGCAGAAAGCCCUAUCUGG
Long non-coding RNA from Carassius gibelio (silver crucian carp), 269 nucleotides. RefSeq lists it as uncharacterized. The record is from RefSeq and is a predicted model, not a curated record. Lineage: Eukaryota; Metazoa; Chordata; Actinopteri; Cypriniformes; Cyprinidae. The transcript is spliced from 3 exons.